RNAcentral lists this small nuclear RNA (104 nucleotides) under Aotus nancymaae (Ma's night monkey). The record is from RNAcentral. Lineage: Eukaryota; Metazoa; Chordata; Mammalia; Primates; Aotidae.
GUGCUUGCGCUUCGGCAGCACAUAUACUAAAAUUGGAACGAUAAAGAGAAGAUUAGCAUCGCCCCUGCGCAAAUUUUUUUUUAAAUAAAAAUUUUAAAAAGUAU